CAGCAGCCGCGGGAAUACGUAUGUCACAAGCGUUAUCCGGAUUUAUUGGGCGUAAAGCGCGUCUAGGUGGUUAUGUAAGUCUGAUGUGAAAAUGCAGGGCUCAACUCUGUAUUGCGUUGGAAACUGUGUAACUAGAGUACUGGAGAGGUAAGCGGAACUACAAGUGUAGAGGUGAAAUUCGUAGAUAUUUGUAGGAAUGCCGAUGGGGAAGCCAGCUUACUGGACAGAUACUGACGCUGAAGCGCGAAAGCGUGGGUAGCAAACAGGAUUAGAUACCCCCGUAGUCCCUGUCUCUUAUACA
Molecule: ribosomal RNA, 301 nt
Filed under: uncultured bacterium
Lineage: Bacteria
Description: partial 16S ribosomal RNA
Rfam family: Bacterial small subunit ribosomal RNA
Source: RNAcentral